CAAAAAGUAGCUUACAACUAAAGCACUCGACUUACACUCGAACGAUGUUAAAAUAACCUUUUUGA
RNAcentral lists this transfer RNA (65 nucleotides) under Python regius (ball python). RNAcentral describes it as "tRNA-Val". It matches the Rfam family "tRNA". From Rfam's summary of the family: Transfer RNA (tRNA) molecules are approximately 80 nucleotides in length. Lineage: Eukaryota; Metazoa; Chordata; Lepidosauria; Squamata; Pythonidae. The record is from RNAcentral.